GAUGAACGCUGGCGGCGUGCUUAACACAUGCAAGUCGAACGAAACACCUUGAUUUGAUUCUUGGGAUGGAGAUCUUGGUGAGUGAGUGGCGGGCGGGUGAGUAACGCGUGGGUAAGCUGUCACAUAAAGGGGGAUAGCAGAUAGACAUGACUGCGAAUACCGCAUAAGACCACAGCACCGCAUGGUGCAGGGGUAAAAACUCCGGUGGGAUGAGAUGGACCCGCGUCUGAUUAGGUGGUUGGUGGGGUAACGGCCUACCAAGCGGACGAGCAGGAGCCGACAGGGGAGGGUGCCCGGCCACAUUUGGACUGAGCCACGGCCCCAACCCCGACGGGAGGCAGCAGUGGGGAAUAUUGCACAAUGGGGGAUACCCUGAUGCAGCGACGCCGCGUGAGCGAUGAAGUAUUUCGGUAUGUAAAGCUCUCUCAGCAGAGAAGAAAAUGACGGUACCUGACUAAGAAGCACCGGCUAAAUACGUG
Molecule: ribosomal RNA, 479 nt
Filed under: uncultured bacterium
Lineage: Bacteria
Description: partial 16S ribosomal RNA
Rfam family: Bacterial small subunit ribosomal RNA
Source: RNAcentral